CCCUUCAACAAAGGUACGUUUAUAGUUCCUUGUCUUUGGACAUAUAAGAAUUAGAGGCAAAGAAAUGUGGACCUGCAGAAAUCUGGGGCCAGCUUGCUCCUCACAGGCUCAACAUCAACCAUCCCACAUAG
This 131-nucleotide small nucleolar RNA is filed under the name Saimiri boliviensis boliviensis (Bolivian squirrel monkey). RNAcentral describes it as "Small nucleolar RNA SNORA38 (ENSSBOG00000003472.1)". It matches the Rfam family "Small nucleolar RNA SNORA38". From Rfam's summary of the family: ACA38 is a member of the H/ACA class of snoRNA that guide the sites of modification of uridines to pseudouridines. Lineage: Eukaryota; Metazoa; Chordata; Mammalia; Primates; Cebidae. The record is from Rfam by way of RNAcentral.